Molecule: ribosomal RNA, 468 nt
Filed under: uncultured bacterium
Lineage: Bacteria
Description: partial 16S ribosomal RNA
Rfam family: Bacterial small subunit ribosomal RNA
Source: RNAcentral
GACGAACGCUGGCGGCGUGCUUAACACAUGCAAGUCGAACGGAAAGGCCCUGCUUUUGUGGGGUGCUCGAGUGGCGAACGGGUGAGUAACACGUGAGUAACCUGCCCUUGACUUUGGGAUAACUUCAGGAAACUGGGGCUAAUACCGGAUAGGAGCUCCUGCAGCAUGGUGGGGGUUGGAAAGUUUCGGCGGUUGGGGAUGGACUCGCGGCUUAUCAGCUUGUUGGUGGGGUAGUGGCUUACCAAGGCUUUGACGGGUAGCCGGCCUGAGAGGGUGACCGGCCACCUUGGGCCUGAGGUACGGCCCAGACUGCUACGGGAGGCAGCAGUGGGGAAUAUUGCACAAUGGGCGGAAGCCUGAUGCAGCAACGCCGCGUUCGGGAUGACGGCCUUCGGGUUGUAAACCGCUUUCGCCUGUGACGAAGCGUGAGUGACGGUAAUGGGUAAAGAAGCACCGGCUAACUACGUG